UGUAAUGCUAUUAAGAUGCAUUGGGAGUUGGAAGAGAGUGCACUGUGGGAAGGGUUAGGGUGUUUGGGGUAUUAGGUUGCCUAAGACUCCUGUUACGCAGCUGGACUCAUUUUACAAAAACACACAGCCUGCUGCAGUUUUUUUUUGUUUUGUUUCAUUGGAAACAAUAUUUUAUUUUUAACCCAACCCCACCGUAUUUAUUACAGGAUUCAGAUAUCCAGCUAUUAUAUAUAUUGUAACUGAAUGCUGUUGUUUCAUCAAUAUUGCAAAAGAGGUUGCAAAACGAAACUAAUUGCAUGAUCUGUAACAGCAAUAACAGGGUUGCUGGCGCCAGCUGAGGCGGGACCUCUUCCUCAAAGUCUGAGGCAACUUGUUAUUCUCCUCACAGCACUGCAGGAAUGCAGCCGUGUACUAGUACUGUCUUUUUAGAGAGGAUUACUCGCAUUUUUAGAUGACCUACACUUCACUUUGGACUAUGUGCACUAUUCUCUGCACAUAACACUAAAUAAGGAAUAUCCUGGACCAAUAGUUGGUUAGAAGCGGCGUGCAGUCAUUUCCAAUUUAACGGGGGAGCAGCAGCGUUUAAUACGUGUAUUAAAACAUCUUGGAACCUCCAGGAAGCUGCAACAAAGAAGGCACUGGAUUCACCACAGCACACUUCAUAAGAACUUUGAGGCUCCUCCCUCUGAGCACAGCGGCGUAAAAUAAGCGAAGAUUGGACCUUUUUCAGUGAUAUUUGAGCUGAAAGAUUUCCAAAGACUCACUGAAGACUGAAGACAAUUCUGGAGAGGAUUUAGUCUCAGUAUUAAGUUUCUAUUUUACAUGGCUUCAUCUAUCUCUUUUUAAAGCUGCUGGAAUGGGUGAUUUUUCUUGCGUUUGUGGUGAAUUAGGGCAUGUGUACGCUGUUAUUUUUCUGAAAUGCGAGGUGUUGUGUAGCUUUAGACACUUUAUCUGGAAAUCUCGCCAAGAUAUCCGCACUCUCUAACAGGCGUGUAUUGACUUUAAAUUGGCCUCUAAAGGGCUUUGCUGUCAGAAUGAUUCCCCAUUAUAACAUCAUCAUAUUGAUCUGAACCAUCCCAGAGAUCUCACCAUCCUGAGCUGUCCCCUGAAGACGUAAAUUAACAGAAUAAUUACAGUAUAGAAUCUCUUGUAAUAGAGAUGCUUAAGAUCUUUUAAAUCUGUUAGGAAAUUUGGGCGAGUGCCACUGUUUAAUAUAACAAGUGCCCAGUAUUAUCUGGUAUUAAGGUCAGAUUGAGGUCAUAAUGACGACUUCUUAUGGUGUUUCCAGUACAAUUGAACAUUAAAUUAGCCCAUAAAUACUAAUAAUACUAAUAUUGAAUAUUGGGAGAUAAUGAGCACAGCAUUUCUGAACAUUAAAUUAGCCCAUAAAUUCUAUUAAUACUAAUAUUGACUAUUGGGAGAUAAUGAGCACAGCUUUAAAGCAUUUCUACAUUACACCUCAUUUAAUAUAAUACUAUUAGUGCUGCCAUGCAAUCAAUCUGGAAACUUUAAUGCAUUUAAUACUAAUUAAUCAUGUUAUCAAGUUUACAGAGCUUGUGUAGUGAAAUACAAUACCAGUCAAAAGUUUGGACACACCUUUUCAUUCAAAGUUUUUCUUAAUUUCUUUCUUUAAUUUAUUUUCUACCUGGAGAUUAAUAUUAAAGACUUGAAAAACAUUUAGAGACGCAUAUGGAAUUAUUUUGUAAACGAUAUGAAUUUACAAUAUAAUAUAAAAACCAUAAAAAUACACUGAAUGAGAAAAGAUGUCAUAAGGUUUUGAAGUUUUUAAAUUAUGCAACGAGAAUUGACAUCAUCAAUAGCAAUUAAACUUAUUGUAAUAAAAAUAAUGUGUGAUAAAUUCAGAUUUAGUGCUUUCAUCGUUAAGCAGUUACCAGCAGGUGGCGCCAGUUGAAAGAUUUUGAAAUGCAGUGAAAUUGAACAUACAGCUCUGGAAAAAAAUGAAAAGAAAAUUAUGAGUUUCUUUGAUUUUACCAAAUUAAAAACAUAUGGAAUAUAAUCAAGAGGAAGAUGGAUGAUCACAUGCCAUCAAACCAAGCUGAUGUUAUCCAAAAGCAGUGUGUAAGACUGGUGGAGGAGAACAUGAUGUCAAGAUGCAUGAAAAGUGUGUUUAAAAACCGGGGUUAUUCCACCAAAUAUUGAUUUCUGAACUCUUCUUUGCAUUAUUUGAGGUCUGUAAGCUGAACUUUCAGUAGUUUAUAGACUACAAUGUUCGUUUUACUCAAACAAAUACCUAUAAAUAGCUAAAUCAGAGAAACUAAUUCAGAAACUGAAGUGCUCUCUUAUUUUUUUCCAGAGCUGUAGGUCUUUUUAAUGACCAUAUAUAACAUAUUGAAAUGUUUUAACAUGACUGAAUAUGAGAAAUCUUAAAAGGUACUGUGAAAUGUCUGAUGUGGGAAAUUUAAAUAAAUGGGAUACCGUUUCCCCUCUGUGCCUACUGGGCAUGCACACUAAAGGGGCCCCCAAAAGCCUUGAAACAGCCGAGUGUAAUCGUUAAGGGCAAGUACUAGAACUAGAAUAAGUGGAAGAAUCUGCACUUACGUUGCUGCUCCAGCUUGAAACGCAGCUUGGGUCACGCAUGGCAUGCGUGACAAUUUGAGGCAGGGUGAAG
This is a long non-coding RNA of Astyanax mexicanus (Mexican tetra), 2629 nucleotides long. RefSeq lists it as uncharacterized. The record is from RefSeq and is a predicted model, not a curated record. Lineage: Eukaryota; Metazoa; Chordata; Actinopteri; Characiformes; Acestrorhamphidae. The transcript has 3 exons.